RNAcentral lists this long non-coding RNA (1258 nucleotides) under Phoenix dactylifera (date palm). Its description in RNAcentral is "long non-coding RNA (PDAC_LNC012090)". The record is from RNAcentral. Lineage: Eukaryota; Viridiplantae; Streptophyta; Magnoliopsida; Arecales; Arecaceae.
GCUUACAUUGAAUGAAAAGCAUAUCUUUUUCUCUCAUUAACUAUGCCUCCUGUAUGUUUUUUUUGACUCUUUGAUACUUCACCUUUUUGCUACUAUGACAAAAAAGGGGGAGAACAUAUGAUAUACCUCUCAUGUAUUUCCAAUUUGAAAUAAUAGAAUUUUUGGAGAAUUGCAAGUAAAGGGAAUCACUAAACAAAAAAAUUUUUAAGCAAAAUGUGAUUUGUUCUUAGUGGAUUCGAUACCUCGAGGUUCAUUAUUCCUCCGUUGGGGCUCCUCUAGGAGUAAUCUCCAGAAUCUAUUCAUAGGAUAUUCAGAGAUUAGUUGAAUCAUAUUCGAGAACAAAUCGUCAGAUUUUCCCUUCUAUAGUUAAGAACUUAAGUUCAAGUUUACAACAUUAAAAGAAAAUUAAGAAAACUUGAACAAAGUUCAAACAAAAUUGAAUGCACAUGUUGAGGGGGCGAAUCUAAAAUUCUAAGAAAGCAAAUUCAUUAAAGAUAUAUAAGCCAAACAAUUGAUUGUAUGAUUUGAAGGCUUAUAUAAUUCCGCAUGAAAGGGAGAGCUUCAAUUUUCAGAAUUUACUGACUCAUAUCCUUCAAUUUUGGAUACACUAAAUAACUAGACAUUUGAAUUCACUUCAAAACUUUACCUUGAAUCAUUUCUUGAAUGAGUAAUUCACUUUACAAAUACUCAAUGUUUUGUCAUCAUCAAAAAGAGGAAGAUUGUGGAGUGAUUAAGUAAAUUCCUAAUUGAUUUUGAUGAGCUCAAAGCAUUUGAGUAUGUCUUAUGUUGUUCUAAUGAAUUCUAUCUAGUGUUUCAGAAAACUUUUUAUUAAAUUCUGUCUAAGUACCUUGAGCUUUGGUUCAGAGUAUUUUGAUUAAGUAUUGAACUCUAUUUGAACCAAAGUCUGCAUCACGAGUCGACUCCUGAAUCUUGCGAGUCGACUUCUGCACACUUGGAGUUUCUGGCACAAGCUCGAGUCGACUCCGGAACUCUUCGAGUCGACUCCAACUGAGAACAGACAGAAAGAUAGAACGAUGAAAUUUGGACCCUGUUAAUGGGUCGACUCCAAAAGGUUGCGAGUCGACUCCGAUGCUUGGCGAGUUGACUCCACAUGGUCCCGAGUCGAUUCCAUGGCAAAGCUGACAAAAAGACAGAAUGUUAGUUUGUGAGACCCUGUGAGCAAGCCGACUCGCAAAGACUUCGAGUCGUCUCCCACAUCAUCCGAGUCGACUCCCAGUUUGUCCGAGUCGACUCCCAA